This is a long non-coding RNA of Scatophagus argus, 438 nucleotides long. RefSeq lists it as uncharacterized. The record is from RefSeq and is a predicted model, not a curated record. The transcript is spliced from 2 exons. NCBI's taxonomy places the organism in Eukaryota, Metazoa, Chordata, Actinopteri, Scatophagidae.
GCGGUCGUUGAGGGGGGGUACUGUUAGGAUUGUGGCCGAAUAUUCAGCUGUUUUUCCUUUGUUUUGGUUUUUUGUUAUUUUUUCCUUCAGGCACGCCGGGGACAGCUGUGUCGGCAGGACGGGGAAUUGGAGCUGAGUGCAAUCACCUGUAUCAUUUAGCCCACCUGUUUCCUGUUCUCCGCCCCUUACUUAAGGACCUUGUCUACAUCCACUCUCCGCCAGUUCUUCAGCUUUUCCACGUGAUCGCCAGCUCCAGUUCCCCGCCCAGCAGUGACGGCGUCCUUAGUUGUGUUUUUGAAACCCUCCGUUUGAGGACAACUUUUGUUGUAUUUUUGAAACCCUCCGUUUGAGGACACCUUUUGUUGUAUUUUGUUACCCUCCGUUUGAGGACACCUUUUGUUGUUGUUUGUUGAAUAAAUCUCUAAGUGAGAACCCGCA